Mustela erminea (ermine) is the source of this 300-nucleotide long non-coding RNA. RefSeq lists it as uncharacterized. NCBI's taxonomy places the organism in Eukaryota, Metazoa, Chordata, Mammalia, Carnivora, Mustelidae. The record is from RefSeq and is a predicted model, not a curated record. The transcript is spliced from 3 exons.
UCUUCAUAUAUUCAGUAACAUAUAUCUAUAUUUAUGUCCAUAUCUCACUGGACUACAUUAAUUCAAUAGUAGGACAAGGAGGACAAGCAGGAAAAAAGAGGGACAGGUCAACAUUUAUUGAGCAAUCAGUGUGUGGGGAUGUAUUCAAUAUCAUUUUCCAGAACAGAAGUUGGGGGAGGACAGAACACAAGCUUUGCCUUUUGGCACUACUCUAAGACUAAGGCUUGCUGAACUUUCCAAGAAGACUGAGCACAAAUUGAUUAUUAUGGACCUUCACCUGGGUUAGAUCGCUGACCAGGA